GGUUUCGUGGUGUAGUUGGUUUAUCACGUCAGUCUAACACACUGAAGGUCCCCGGUUCAAGCCCGGGCGAAAUCA
This 75-nucleotide transfer RNA is filed under the name Coniochaeta ligniaria NRRL 30616. The record is from Rfam by way of RNAcentral. Lineage: Eukaryota; Fungi; Ascomycota; Sordariomycetes; Coniochaetales; Coniochaetaceae.